UGACAGCCUCGCAGCUGCAGUCAUGCAGCUCUGGCCGACUGGCACACACGCAGCCUGCUCUCCACCCACACACCUCAGAACUCAUGCCAAACAACUCAGAUCUGUGAUUUCCAGGACAUUUUUCAGUCGCUGCUCCUUUGUGACGCAACUGCUAAUGUUCAUCGUCACGAUUUUCCUACACACCCUCUGGUCUACAACUGACAGCUCUGAAGGACCCCCGCUGGUCUGGCUGUUGGGAUGAUGGCCCCACACAACAAGCAGUGCACAUUCUGCAAUUACAUGGCAGGUUCUUUUGUCCUAUUCAUGAGCAGACUGCUGCACCCUGGGGGCUCAGCUGAGGAGGUUUAAAUCCAUGGACGUCUUCUUUCAAAAGCAGAUUACAGCAGAAAAAGAAAAUAAAAG
This 402-nucleotide long non-coding RNA is filed under the name Gallus gallus (chicken). RNAcentral describes it as "long non-coding RNA NONGGAT008050". The record is from RNAcentral. Lineage: Eukaryota; Metazoa; Chordata; Aves; Galliformes; Phasianidae.